Molecule: ribosomal RNA, 789 nt
Filed under: uncultured Planctomycetota bacterium
Lineage: Bacteria; Pseudomonadati; Planctomycetota
Description: bacterial SSU rRNA
Rfam family: Bacterial small subunit ribosomal RNA
Source: RNAcentral
CUUCAGGUAGCAAUACUUGGAGCAAGUGGCGAAAGGGGCAGUAAUGCAUGGGCAAUCUACCUCGGGGACGUGGAUAGCUAUUCUAACGAGUAGGUAAUACACGGCGAUUCGGCGGAGUGGCAUCACUUUGCCGGGAAAUGAAUUUCGCCUCGGGAGGAGCUCAUGUCGUAUUAGGUAGUUGGCGGGGUAAUGGCCCACCAAGCCUCAGAUGCGUAGCGGGUGUGAGAGCACGACCCGCGCCACUGGCACUGAGACACUGGCCAGACACCUACGGGUGGCUGCAGUCGAGGAUCUUCGGCAAUGAGCGCAAGCUUGACCGAGCGACGCCGCGUGUGCGACGAAGGCCUUCGGGUUGUAAAGCACUGUCGAGGGGGAGGAAAGCCGAAAGGUCUGACCUAUCCCUGGAGGAAGCACGGGCUAAGUUCGUGCCAGCAGCCGCGGUAAGACGAACCGUGCGAACGUUGUUCGGAAUCACUGGGCUUAAAGGGCGCGUAGGCGGGCCAUAAAGUCAAGGGUGAAAUCCCCCAGCUUAACUGGGGAACUGCCUUUGAUACUGAUGGUCUCGAGUAAGGUAGGGGCAUGCGGAACUGAUGGUGGAGCGGUGAAAUGUGUUGAUAUCAUCAGGAACUCCGGUGGCGAAGGCGGCAUGCUGGACCUUCACUGACGCUGAGGCGCGAAAGCUAGGGGAGCGAACGGGAUUAGAUACCCCGGUAGUCCUAGCCCUAAACGAUGAGUACUAGGUUGUAGUCUUGACAUGGGAUUACAGCCGGAGCAAAAGUGCUAAGUACU